GGGCUAGUAAAGGUUUCGACAGGGGUUUUGAAACUGGAGAAGCUAUCCGCGGGAUGGUGGCGAUAUACCUCAAAUUAAAUUUAAACGCUGAAGAUAAUUUAGCAAUCGCAGCCUAACGGCUGCCGUCAGCCUCGAUACACCUACAUAUUAAGUAACUGACGUCAAACUUGUAGGAAACGACACAGCUUAAGCUUUGCGGCUGCGGGCGUAACAUGAAGCUACCAAACGGACAUGGGCGUGAGCUUCCGUAUCCGGGCGGGAACAGGGGAGCAGAUCCUCACAAUAGCUUACUAUGAUAGUAGAAGGACAGCGGAUGGGCUUUUGGACACGGGUUCGACUCCCGUCUAGUCCACUU
Molecule: transfer-messenger RNA, 355 nt
Filed under: Butyrivibrio sp.
Lineage: Bacteria; Bacillati; Bacillota; Clostridia; Lachnospirales; Lachnospiraceae
Also listed under: 1 other name
Rfam family: transfer-messenger RNA
About the family: Bacterial tmRNA, also known as 10Sa RNA or SsrA, is named for its dual tRNA and mRNA-like properties.
Source: RNAcentral